UCCCUUUUCGCUUAGAUAAUGCCAUUUUGGUAAGACUUGGUGGGUUCAAUUUUUUCCUCGUGGAAAAAAUAGUCUGUUUAUAUUUCGGACGAAGCAAGCGUUUUGUUGAAUUUUGAUAACGUCACCGGCCUGCGAAAGCCAUUUUCUCGGACUAGUUAGCAGUGCAUCGUAAGUAGUUUUCAGUAAGCGGCACAGUUGAACCGUCGUCGUACUGUGUUGACGACACGGCACGGCUCCCUGUCCCACCGAACAAAGGAAUAUUAAGGUCGAUGCGUGUUCGUUAUCGCAAGCGGAGCGAAAUAUCUUUUGUGAAAUAGUUUAAAGCUAAACCCAUCGAACGCAAUUUUUGUUACAGCAGUUUGACAUUUUUCGUCAAAUAUAUCUAACCAAUUACCUGGACUCAUUCAGUGCUGUUAGCAACAUUGGCUAAGGUUAGCCGCAAUUGUGGAUAACUAGCGAGCUAACUGCUAACUUUAGCAUUGUUUUGAUUCAAGCAAGUUUUCUUUUUGUGGAAAAUGGCCGAAGUGUAUAUUCGAGUGGCGGAGGAGGAAAACGAAGAACCCAUGGAGAUACCCUCUGAAGACGACGGGACUGUCCUGCUCUCAACCGUGGCAGCUCAGUUUCCAGGGGCGUGUGGCCUACGUUUCAGGAGCCCCGUGUCUCAGUGCAUGCGAGGAGUGCGUCUUGUGGAAGGGAUUUUGCACGCACCAGAAAACGGAUGGGGGAAUAUCGUUUAUGUGGUGAACUAUCCAAAAGACAACAAAAGGAAAAUGGAUGAAAUUGAUGCAUCCUCUGCUGUGAAAAUGAAGAGAGGGGAUAUGAAGACAUCUGACCUGAUUGUACUGGGCCUUCCCUGGAAAACAACUGAGCAGGACCUCAAAGAUUACUUUAGCACAUUUGGAGAAGUCAUCAUGGUUCAGGUAAAACGAGAUGCCAAGACCGGAAACUCUAAAGGAUUUGGCUUUGUGAGAUUCACAGAGUAUGAGGCUCAAGAAAAGGUGAUCUCCCAGCGCCAUAUGAUUGAUGGUAGAUGGUGUGACUGCAAGCUGCCUAACUCGAAGGUGAAUAUGCAAGGUCUGGACGAGCCAUUGAGGAGUCGGAAAGUGUUUGUAGGCCGCUGCACUGAAGACAUGACCACAGAUGAUUUACGGCAGUUCUUCAUGCAGUAUGGAGAAGUCACAGACGUCUUCAUCCCGAAGCCAUUUCGUGCUUUUGCUUUUGUCACAUUUGCAGAUGAUCAGGUUGCCCAGUCUCUCUGUGGAGAGGACCUAAUUAUCAAAGGCGUCAGCGUUCACAUCUCAAAUGCUGAGCCCAAACAUGGAAAUAGGCAGUUUGAUCGCACAGCACGGUUUGGGAAUGGUUUUGGAGCUCAGGCAUUUGGUAGCAGCCGUAGUGGGUUAGGGAGCAGCACUAACAGUAGUCUGGCUAAUUUUGGUUCCUUCAGUCUGAACCCUGCUAUGAUGGCUGCUGCUCAGGCUGCUCUGCAGAGUAGUUGGGGGAUGAUGGGCAUGUUGGCUAGCCAGCAGCAGACAUCCACUUCAGGCAGCACUUCCAGUGGAACAAGCUCUAGUAGGGACCAGAGUCAGUCCUUUGGUACAGGCAACAGCAACUACGGCACCAGCUCGGCCAGUCUUGGCUGGGGAACAGGGUCAAACUCUACAACUAGUGGUAGUGGGUUUAGCUCAGGUUUUGGGUCCAGUAUGGAGUCAAAGUCAUCUGGGUGGGGUAUGUAAGUUAAAUGUUUGUAUGGUAAGUAUUGUGUCGAAGAUGAGUCCUUUCAAAAAUUUAUUUCCGGUGUUGAUGCGUAUCUGAGAACUUAACACUUUUGUGGAAGAUGUUUUGUACAUUUGGAAAAAAUGCUAAAGAUUUAAUUUAGAGUGUUGAAGUGAAUUGUUUACCAGGAUGUCCGACUAAAGUGCUAUUUUUGAUGUCUCAUUUGUUUGUAUCCAUUUCAACUGGAUUCUCUAAUGCAUGCAUUGUGAAAUGUAAUACAACCAUUUUGAAAAUGCAUGAAUGUUUGUGUUUCACCAUUAUGCGGCUUGGUCAUCAGUUUAAAAGGCAAUCUUGCAUUGGGAAGAAUCUGGUUGAAACCUAUGUGUUUUAAGUGCAACUUUAUUUGCAGUCAAGUUCUGUGGAAAAGCCUUCAUUGAAAUCUCUUCUGCAGUUCACCUCUCUUCCAUUUUCCUGUGAGGAAGCUCCUCUUUGGCAGCAUUCUUGGGGUGAUAUCGGUUUCAUUCUCCCUCUUCCCACCAGUAAAUGCUAUGCCAUCAAAGAACGGCUUCACUCCGCAUGUUCUAAGAGACGGGACCUUGGGCUCCUGGUCGAGGUCUCCGUUUGAACCCUGACUGAAGUCUGUUCUGAAGGACGAAGACGGAAGUUCCAACACUUUCAGUGUGUGGCCUUCUCAGACAUGACAUGGGGUAGUACUUGUCUUUUUGCUGCUUUUAAUAGCUUGUCAGAGUGAAUUCUCAGCAAUAUGGCAUCAAUUCUCCAAGAAAUGUUUGUUUUUUUUUCCCCUUGAUUUGAUUGAAAAUAACUAGUGGCACUUUGCUGAGCCUUGGAAUUGGUGAUUGGGAUUUUUAGAUGUCCUUAAACACUGAGUGGCCACUUGAUCUGGUACACCUGUACAGUCUAUUACAAUUCAGUAUAACUACUCUGUGAUAAUUAGCAUUUUUGUUACAUUUAUAAUGUUCAGUUUUUGUUGUCAUGGUCAGAAAUCUAUAAGUUAAUUCAUGUUUUAUCUGUAUUUGCACGCAUGCGGGGGGCCAACAAGACACCAAUACUAUUGCAAUAUCAAAACAAAAUUAUAGCCAUCAUAACGGUUGACUUUAUGGUCAUUAUAUUGGAUUGCUUUAGAUUGUAUAUGUUUACCCUAUGAAGUGGUCACUGGGUGUUUCCUCAAGUGCAAAACGUAUCCCAAUCAUUCUUGUUACAUUUUGGAGAAACAUGGCAGAUGGAUAAUUAAGCAAUCUGAAAAGAUGUAGCAGAAGUUCAGAGUUCUUCUAGUCAGUCUCACUUUACAUACUUUCACAUCAGUUCAACCAUUUUGUUGUCAGACCAGUGCCAAAUGCAGUGUAUUUUGACAUUACAUCAGCAGACCCCAGGACAGAUAACGGGUCAGAAAUUAUUAGCUCAAAAUCUGCAUUGUAUAUAAAACCAAUGUAAUAUAUCAAAUGCCAUAAGAUCUAAUUGUUUGGAAUUUUUCCAGAGUUGAAAUGCAUAGUUCUUAUGAAAGAAUGACUACAGCACCUUUGACACCUCACUCAAUGUCAUGUAUUAGUCUUCAUGUUUAUUUGAAUGUUGGACACAAGUGAGACACUGCAGGUAUGCCUGUGUCUUGUCUUUAUUUCUUUAUUCUCUGCUUUCCUCUUCAGUAUCUCUGCUCUUCCUCUUCCCAGUAUUUUUCUUCUUCAAAUCCCUCUGCUCCUGGUUCAGUUCCUCACUUUUAUUUUGUAUGUAGAUGGACUGAAAUGAAUAAAGCAAAUUAAACAUUAAA
Scatophagus argus is the source of this 3496-nucleotide RNA transcript. It is a transcript of the gene named TAR DNA binding protein b, with no coding region annotated. Lineage: Eukaryota; Metazoa; Chordata; Actinopteri; Scatophagidae. The transcript is spliced from 6 exons. The record is from RefSeq and is a predicted model, not a curated record.